This is a long non-coding RNA of Micropterus dolomieu (smallmouth bass), 1254 nucleotides long. RefSeq lists it as uncharacterized. The record is from RefSeq and is a predicted model, not a curated record. Lineage: Eukaryota; Metazoa; Chordata; Actinopteri; Centrarchiformes; Centrarchidae. The transcript has 3 exons.
UGCUGUGUCAUUGUUUUCUCUAUAUCAUGGUGUUUGUCAUGGAAUGGAUUUUCUCCUGAAUUGCUUACCCUGAUUUUAAAUGUCAAAGGUGUCUUAUUGCUCAAGCUCAGCAAAGAAUUUUGUUUCUCCUAAAUACUCUUCACAGCAAGUUUGAUAAAUACAGGCCCUGACUAUGAAACUUUAACUCAGUAUUACUAAACCUUCACUGAGCAUAGGUUACAAGCUUGCAGUGUAAGAAAUGCUACUGUAAUAAUACUAACAGCAAAUACAUGAUUAAUAUAUUCUCCUCACACUGUCACAUCAUUUUAACAACUGCAUCAUACAGCAGAAAACUCUGUAUUGACUUCAGUUAUACCUUGAUCCUGUGGAACUGUUGUUCCAUGGCCCGCAGGCUGCGCUUGGCCUCCUCAUCAUGACUCUCCAGCUCAGCCUCCAGACGCUGAAUCCUGCGCUCCAGCAGGGCAUUGAUCCCACUGGGCGGGGACGUCUUGGCAGCCUCCACAUCCUCUUGACCCCCAGCUGUGGCUGCAGCGUAGAUCAGAGCUUGCAGGGAGUUUGGGUUUCUACAUCUUAAUAUCUGCUCCAGCUCCUUCACCUGGUGUUCUACCUGAAAUGCGGACAUCCUGUCAUUUCCAACACGGUAAGCAAUGCUACUGCCCCACAUCAUAGCUGAACCUCCAAGGUCUCUGAUCCUUCAGCAGCUGCAGCCUCACAAGGUGAUGCCCACACAAUAAACUGCAGAAAUACAGUUACUGGAAAAGGAAGAAGGGGUUUUGGACUGAAAAGCGGCGGACCAUGAUCCACCAGGCCCAAAAAAGUGGACCAGGCGCCAUGGCGGAUGCGGCGAUCGCUCAGAGGAGGGGAAAGGGAGCCGGGAUAGGAGCCAUGUUGGCCCAGCUUGGACUUAAUUCUGCUCUUAAAGGUCUUGAUAAAAUGGGACUCAUGUCCUAUAGACAAAACUAAAAAAAUCUAUAAUUUGAUAUCUGUGACACCAUACUCAGUCUUAUCUGGGCAACAUUCAGAUGUGUGGACAGAUCUAUUUAAUUCGUCCUCAUCACCAGAGAGCAAAUCGCCAUGCAGUCAUCCACAAUAAAUAGAACAGUAGUUACAUCUAUAAGUCUCCUUUUGGACGAGAGAUGGAGUGAUUGAAAGCGUGCAACCGACUGUAGAGCUGCAAUUAUGUGAGUAAAACGCAUGUUGUAACUUUGCCAGGGCAGACAGCUGUACUGAAUAAAACUGAGACAGGGGUUAAAA